ACAUGGAGAUGCAAGAUGUGUAUUGCGUUAUGCAUGUUUAUGGUUUACACAAAGCGUAUAAGGAAAGUUAAGCAGUUGUACAAAGCCGAAGGGUUCUCCGACUUACGAUGGAUAAAUUGAGGGUCGUAAAAGCUUGGGUGCGAGCAAGUAGGAGGAGAAUUUCAAUCGAAGAACAGCUAAAGUACAAGAGAACUGCAGCAUGUAAGACUACAUGUACAUCGACUUUGAAUAAUCUACCUGGUAUAUCCUCAAAAAGGCAACUCAAAUACAGAAAGUGCAUAUAAUUUGGAAAAGAGACCAUCAAUCCACUGGGGGGUAUCGCAUGAAAGCAAUGAUUAUAGAAUAUUGUAAGGUUGGAGGAUCGAGUUAUAGUACAACAGGCAG
Molecule: long non-coding RNA, 384 nt
Organism: Saccostrea echinata
Lineage: Eukaryota; Metazoa; Mollusca; Bivalvia; Ostreida; Ostreidae
Exons: 3
Source: RefSeq, a predicted model, not a curated record